This 1688-nucleotide long non-coding RNA is filed under the name Homo sapiens (human). RNAcentral's name for it is "HSALNT0374053". The record is from RNAcentral. Lineage: Eukaryota; Metazoa; Chordata; Mammalia; Primates; Hominidae.
AAUUCUUUAAGAGUUCAUAAUUUAAUCUCACAUCGGUCAGGUGAGUAUCAUUAUCCUCAUUUUAACAGAAGUAGAAACUGAGACACAAGGGCUGAGAGUACUGAAAGUUAUGGAAUAAGGAAUGAAAAAUUCUAAAUACAGCCCCAAUUCCCCUGACUUCCAAUCUAAUGCUUGGUCUGCCCACUAGUGCAUACUGUUUCAUUAAUUAGGAAAAGCUCAAAAUCCCUGUAAAGGAGUAUCUGCAUGGAAUGUAGUGGGUAUCUUUAGUUUAUACCCUGUCAUAAAGAAUUGAGACACAUUUGUGUUUUGCUACAAUAAAAUCUAUCAACACAUUGAAAAUCAAAAUAUGAGCAUAGAGAAAAUAGAACACUAGGAGGUUAGAAUCAUAAAAUACUUCAUGAAUCAUGUAGCCAGUAUAUAACCAGGGGGGGAAACUGAGACUCACGUAAGUUAAGUGCCUUGCCCUAAGUCACACGGCAUUCAUUAAUAGAACUGAAACCGUAAUAGAGGUCCCCAACCUCUGAGACCCAUCCCUAUUUCAUUACCCUUUCUAUUCAGUUUUGGUUCUUUGGUUCAAAUUUCUAUUCCUUGGUUUGCUCUUUCUUCUUCCCUGAAGUUAUUAUUUCCAUACUUCCUUUUCUGCACAUGCUGUUGUGCAGUCACCCAUAGAUCUGAAUUUCCAUCACACAGCCUCUCAGGAGGUGCGUCCCCAUCACACUGAGACCAUGCUGGUGUGAAAAGAUCUUAACAUCAUCACCCUAUAGCCCUAGGGAACUUCAGACCAUUAACAUGCUUCACCCUCUCAGUUCCCACCCCUGCAGGGUGAAUCCACAGAAAACACUGAAAAUAGUGGGUGGUAUUAACAUAGAGGAAAUACACAGAUCCAAUCACCAAGAUUCAUAAACCAUGUAUGUGGCAAGGAAGAGGACUGGAUUUAAAAGUCUUGCAAGCAAGGCAUCAUCUUAAUCACAUACUACCUGCUUAAGUGUGCAGAAUCUUCAGACUGAAUUUUCUGCUAAGCUGUGAGCUCUGAAGAUGAAUAUUAAAUUAGAAUUUGGGAAGGAAAAUAUGCCCUCCUUCACAGAAAAGCACUUUUAUUUUAACAUUUAAUAAUGAAGCUGCCCCACAGAGGAGCCUGGAGCUUGUUGCCACUAGAAACUGAGUCAUACUUUCUAGGGCUAUGGUCAAAUUGCAAGUCCCACUCCCACCUUCCCCUAAACUCCUCCGGUAAUUGACUGACCUUACUAAGGUUGACUGAGCUGAACUUUCAGAUGAUCCCUGGUGUUUGGGGGCUAAGCUGUGCUUCUGAAGGUGCUCCUGAGGAAGAGGAUAUUAUUUGUGAAUGCAGAAGGGAGCCCUCUCCGAUAAGAAUUUCCAAGGAAAUCUCCCUUACAGAAGCUAGCAAUGUUGAGUAGAAACAAUUUUACAUCUACCUGAAGAAAAUGUCAACACAGUUUCCAUUUAUUUCAAACUAUUGUGAGAGAUAUUGAAUUAUUGUGCAAGAAAAAUAUCCACCCCAUACCCACAGAGAAGAUUGCAACAAUCUUCCAAAAUGGAGAAUGUCUUGUAACCAAGCACAUAGAUCAAAAAAUGAUUUAUGUGAGCCACUGAAUUUGUACAUAUUUUGAUGUUAUUCAUUCUAUAGCCUUAUUCCAUUACCUUGACAGAAGAAAAUGUGUAUCUGUUUC